This 318-nucleotide ribosomal RNA is filed under the name Clostridium perfringens. RNAcentral's name for it is "partial 23S ribosomal RNA". It matches the Rfam family "Bacterial large subunit ribosomal RNA", at positions 1240 to 1557 of the family's 2925-position model. Lineage: Bacteria; Bacillati; Bacillota; Clostridia; Eubacteriales; Clostridiaceae. The record is from RNAcentral.
CGUAACCGGGCUGAAGUCGUACCGUAAGGAGCGGUGGACUGGUUACGAGUGAGAAUGUUGGCAUCAGUAGCGAGAUGUGGGUGAGAAUCCCACAGGCCGAAAACCUAAGGUUUCCUCAGGAAGGUUCGUCCGCUGAGGGUUAGUCGGGACCUAAGCCGAGGCCGAAAGGCGUAGGUGAUGGACAACUGGUUGAUAUUCCAGUACCACUACCAUCGUUAUUAUCGAUGGCGUGACGCAGGAGGAUAGUGUGUGCUAGCUAUUGGAUGCUAGUCUAAGCGUUUAGGCAGUGAGAGUAGGCAAAUCCGCUCUCAUAAUGCU